This is a small nuclear RNA of Chrysoperla carnea, 189 nucleotides long. RefSeq annotates it as U2 spliceosomal RNA. The transcript has a single exon. NCBI's taxonomy places the organism in Eukaryota, Metazoa, Arthropoda, Insecta, Neuroptera, Chrysopidae. The record is from RefSeq and is a predicted model, not a curated record.
GUAUCUUUUAAAGAUUAUUUAAAUAAAAAGCUUUAAUCUGUUCUUAUCAGCUUAAUAUCUGGUACGUCCUGCAUUGCGGGACCAGUAUAUUAAACUGUUUUUUGGAACAUGGCGGAGUGUUGGGGCUUGCUCCUCUUCUGCCGCGGGUUGGCCUGGUAUUGCAGAGUCACUAGGAUCGGCCCAAUAAAA